GCCGGGGUGGCGGAACUGGCAGACGCACAGGACUUAAAAUCCUGCGGUGAGANNGAUCACCGUACCGGUUCGAUUCCGGUCCUCGGCACCA
RNAcentral lists this transfer RNA (91 nucleotides) under Staphylococcus pseudintermedius. Its description in RNAcentral is "tRNA-Leu". It matches the Rfam family "tRNA". Rfam says of the family: Transfer RNA (tRNA) molecules are approximately 80 nucleotides in length. The record is from RNAcentral. Lineage: Bacteria; Bacillati; Bacillota; Bacilli; Caryophanales; Staphylococcaceae.